RNAcentral lists this ribosomal RNA (403 nucleotides) under uncultured bacterium. RNAcentral's name for it is "bacterial SSU rRNA". It matches the Rfam family "Bacterial small subunit ribosomal RNA", at positions 362 to 758 of the family's 1533-position model. The record is from RNAcentral.
UAUUGCACAAUGGGCGCAAGCCUGAUGCAGCCAUGCCGCGUGUGUGAAGAAGGCCUUCGGGUUGUAAAGCACUUUCAGUCAGGAGGAAAGGUUAGUAGUUAAUACCUGCUAGCUGUGACGUUACUGACAGAAGAAGCACCGGCUAACUCCGUGCCAGCAGCCGCGGUAAUACGGAGGGUGCGAGCGUUAAUCGGAAUUACUGGGCGUAAAGCGUACGCAGGCGGUUUGUUAAGCAAGAUGUGAAAGCCCCGGGCUCAACCUGGGAACUGCAUUUCGAACUGGCAAACUAGAGUGUGAUAGAGGGUGGUAGAAUUUCAGGUGUAGCGGUGAAAUGCGUAGAGAUCUGAAGGAAUACCGAUGGCGAAGGUAGCCACCUGGGUCAACACUGACGCUCAUUACGAAG